GGGCGAGGGCGGGCUUCCGCGGUCUCCCGGGCUUUUCUUCCUCGCCCGCUAGCCGCCGCGCGCCGCCGUUCCCCUGCCCCCAGCCCCGUGAGGUCCCCCGUGAGGGCGUCGUGUGACCGUGCAGUCCGCAGACGUUCCUGAAACAGGCUGAAAUUGAGGGUGACUCCUGCAUCUUCCAGGUUGCUCUGCUUCUGAACUUCCCUUGGGCCUGAGAGGGCUGCUCCUCCUGCAUGUGCUGAGUGUCACUGACUUGGGCUCUCUCUGGCACAGGGAGGAAAUGCUGCCUGAAAAGGACUGUGGGCAAGACCAUGUUCUUCUGGCCUCAUUUAUCCAGCUCAGAAUCCAUCUCCAGGACUGUGUCUUCUCUGCUGUGUGAGGCCCAAGUGGCUCUGGCUGAGAUUUGUCUCCCUGUGACCUGCAGCUGCUAUGAGAUCCAUAGGAAAGAAGUCAGGACUCUCCAGAAGGCAAGAAAUGGUGAGUGUGGGUUGAGGACUGCUCAGGGAGGUGGGCUGUUUAGAACUGGUGGGAACCAUCUGUGUGGCUGGACUCUGGCCUCCCACUGUUAG
RNAcentral lists this long non-coding RNA (566 nucleotides) under Ictidomys tridecemlineatus (thirteen-lined ground squirrel). RNAcentral's name for it is "lncRNA (ENSSTOG00000033461.1)". Lineage: Eukaryota; Metazoa; Chordata; Mammalia; Rodentia; Sciuridae. The record is from RNAcentral.